RNAcentral lists this ribosomal RNA (2927 nucleotides) under Enterobacter ludwigii. Its description in RNAcentral is "23S ribosomal RNA". It matches the Rfam family "Bacterial large subunit ribosomal RNA". Lineage: Bacteria; Pseudomonadati; Pseudomonadota; Gammaproteobacteria; Enterobacterales; Enterobacteriaceae. The record is from RNAcentral.
GGGUUGUGAGGUUAAGCGACUAAGCGUACACGGUGGAUGCCCUGGCAGUCAGAGGCGAUGAAGGACGUGCUAAUCUGCGAAAAGCGCCGGCGAGGUGAUAUGAACCUUUGACCCGGCGAUGUCCGAAUGGGGAAACCCAGUGUGUUCCGACACACUAUCGUUAACUGAAUACAUAGGUUAACGAGGCGAACCGGGGGAACUGAAACAUCUAAGUACCCCGAGGAAAAGAAAUCAACCGAGAUUCCCCCAGUAGCGGCGAGCGAACGGGGAGCAGCCCAGAGUCUGAAUCAGCUUGUGUGUUAGUGGAAGCGUCUGGAAAGUCGCACGGUACAGGGUGACAGUCCCGUACACGAAAGCACACAGGCUGUGAACUCGAAGAGUAGGGCGGGACACGUGGUAUCCUGUCUGAAUAUGGGGGGACCAUCCUCCAAGGCUAAAUACUCCUGACUGACCGAUAGUGAACCAGUACCGUGAGGGAAAGGCGAAAAGAACCCCGGCGAGGGGAGUGAAAAAGAACCUGAAACCGUGUACGUACAAGCAGUGGGAGCCUCUUUUAUGGGGUGACUGCGUACCUUUUGUAUAAUGGGUCAGCGACUUAUAUUCUGUAGCAAGGUUAACCGUAUAGGGGAGCCGAAGGGAAACCGAGUCUUAACUGGGCGUUAAGUUGCAGGGUAUAGACCCGAAACCCGGUGAUCUAGCCAUGGGCAGGUUGAAGGUUGGGUAACACUAACUGGAGGACCGAACCGACUAAUGUUGAAAAAUUAGCGGAUGACUUGUGGCUGGGGGUGAAAGGCCAAUCAAACCGGGAGAUAGCUGGUUCUCCCCGAAAGCUAUUUAGGUAGCGCCUCGUGAACUCAUCUUCGGGGGUAGAGCACUGUUUCGGCUAGGGGGCCAUCCCGGCUUACCAACCCGAUGCAAACUACGAAUACCGAAGAAUGUUAUCACGGGAGACACACGGCGGGUGCUAACGUCCGUCGUGAAGAGGGAAACAACCCAGACCGCCAGCUAAGGUCCCAAAGUCAUGGUUAAGUGGGAAACGAUGUGGGAAGGCACAGACAGCCAGGAUGUUGGCUUAGAAGCAGCCAUCAUUUAAAGAAAGCGUAAUAGCUCACUGGUCGAGUCGGCCUGCGCGGAAGAUGUAACGGGGCUAAACCAUGCACCGAAGCUGCGGCAGCGACACUAUGUGUUGUUGGGUAGGGGAGCGUUCUGUAAGCCGUUGAAGGUGUCCUGUGAGGGGUGCUGGAGGUAUCAGAAGUGCGAAUGCUGACAUAAGUAACGAUAAAGCGGGUGAAAAGCCCGCUCGCCGGAAGACCAAGGGUUCCUGUCCAACGUUAAUCGGGGCAGGGUGAGUCGACCCCUAAGGCGAGGCCGAAAGGCGUAGUCGAUGGGAAACAGGUUAAUAUUCCUGUACUUGGUGUUACUGCGAAGGGGGGACGGAGAAGGCUAUGUUAGCCGGGCGACGGUUGUCCCGGUUUAAGCAUGUAGGCGGAACGAUUAGGUAAAUCCGGUCGUUUAUUAACGCUGAGGUGUGAUGACGAGGCACUACGGUGCUGAAGUAACAAAUGCCCUGCUUCCAGGAAAAGCCUCUAAGCAUCAGGUAACAUCAAAUCGUACCCCAAACCGACACAGGUGGUCAGGUAGAGAAUACCAAGGCGCUUGAGAGAACUCGGGUGAAGGAACUAGGCAAAAUGGUGCCGUAACUUCGGGAGAAGGCACGCUGAUAUGUAGGUGAAGCCCCUGCGGGUGGAGCUGAAAUCAGUCGAAGAUACCAGCUGGCUGCAACUGUUUAUUAAAAACACAGCACUGUGCAAACACGAAAGUGGACGUAUACGGUGUGACGCCUGCCCGGUGCCGGAAGGUUAAUUGAUGGGGUUAGCGGUAACGCGAAGCUCUUGAUCGAAGCCCCGGUAAACGGCGGCCGUAACUAUAACGGUCCUAAGGUAGCGAAAUUCCUUGUCGGGUAAGUUCCGACCUGCACGAAUGGCGUAAUGAUGGCCAGGCUGUCUCCACCCGAGACUCAGUGAAAUUGAACUCGCUGUGAAGAUGCAGUGUACCCGCGGCAAGACGGAAAGACCCCGUGAACCUUUACUAUAGCUUGACACUGAACACUGGUCCUUGAUGUGUAGGAUAGGUGGGAGGCUUUGAAGCGUGGACGCCAGUCUGCGUGGAGCCAACCUUGAAAUACCACCCUUUAAUGGCUGGUGUUCUAACGUAGACCCGUGAUCCGGGUUGCGGACAGUGUCUGGUGGGUAGUUUGACUGGGGCGGUCUCCUCCCAAAGAGUAACGGAGGAGCACGAAGGUUAGCUAAUCCUGGUCGGACAUCAGGAGGUUAGUGCAAUGGCAUAAGCUAGCUUGACUGCGAGAGUGACGGCUCGAGCAGGUGCGAAAGCAGGUCAUAGUGAUCCGGUGGUUCUGAAUGGAAGGGCCAUCGCUCAACGGAUAAAAGGUACUCCGGGGAUAACAGGCUGAUACCGCCCAAGAGUUCAUAUCGACGGCGGUGUUUGGCACCUCGAUGUCGGCUCAUCACAUCCUGGGGCUGAAGUAGGUCCCAAGGGUAUGGCUGUUCGCCAUUUAAAGUGGUACGCGAGCUGGGUUUAGAACGUCGUGAGACAGUUCGGUCCCUAUCUGCCGUGGGCGCUGGAGAAUUGAGGGGGGCUGCUCCUAGUACGAGAGGACCGGAGUGGACGCAUCACUGGUGUUCGGGUUGUCAUGCCAAUGGCACUGCCCGGUAGCUAAAUGCGGAAGAGAUAAGUGCUGAAAGCAUCUAAGCACGAAACUUGCCCCGAGAUGAGUUCUCCCUGAGACUUUAAGUCUCCUGAAGGAACGUUGAAGACUACGACGUUGAUAGGUCGGGUGUGUAAGCGCAGCGAUGCGUUGAGCUAACCGAUACUAAUGAACCGUGAGGCUUAACCUUACAACGCCGAAG